This is a small nucleolar RNA of Oryza sativa Japonica Group (Japanese rice), 107 nucleotides long. It matches the Rfam family "Plant small nucleolar RNA R71". From Rfam's summary of the family: R71 is a member of the C/D box family of snoRNAs containing the C (UGAUGA) and D (CUGA) box motifs. Multiple nearly identical copies of this snoRNA have been identified in Arabidopsis, and it is thought to function as a 2'-O-ribose methylation guide for 18S ribosomal RNA. The record is from Rfam. NCBI's taxonomy places the organism in Eukaryota, Viridiplantae, Streptophyta, Magnoliopsida, Poales, Poaceae.
AUCCCAUGAUGAGGACAGGCGGCUAUGUACUCCUGCAGUCGUUCCUAUGCUUCUGGAAUAGAUUCGUCCCUUGUUUGCUGGAAACUUGAAGUCCUUCCACGAAGGGC